UUUUACCACCGAGGAGCCUCUCGCUCCACCGAGAAAAAGAAGAGGACUGGCGAACGGGUGACUAACGGUGGGUAACCUGCCCAUCAGAAGGGGAUAACACUUGGAAACUGGUGCUACUACCGUAUAACAAUCGAAACCGCAUGGUUUUGAUUUGAAAGGCGCUUUCGGGUGUCUCUGAUGGAUGGACCCGCGGUGCAUUAGCUAGUUGGUGAGGUAACGGCUCACCAGGGCCACGAUGCAUACCCGACCUGAGAGGGUGAUCGGCCACUUUGGGACUGACACACGGCCCACACUCCUACGGGAGGCAGCAGUAGGGAAUCUUCGGCAAUGGACAAAUGUCUGACCGAACAACCCCGCGUGAGUGAAGAGUGUUUUCAGAUCAUAAAACUCUGUUGUUAGAAAAAAACAGGGAUGAGAGUAACUGUUCCUCCCUUGACGGUAUCUAACCAGAAAGCCACGGCUAACUACGUGCCCCCCCCCGCGGUAAUACGUGGGUGGCAAGCGUUGUCCGGAUUUAUUGGGCGUAAAGCGAGCGCACGCGGUUUCUUAACUCUGAUGUGAAACCCCCCGGCUCCCCCGGGGAGGGUCAUUGAACACUGGGAGACUUGAGUGCAGAAGAAGAGAGUGGAAUUCCGUGUGUAGCGGUGAAAUGCGUAGAUAUAUGGAGGAACACCAGUGGCGAACGCGGCUCUCUGGUCUGUAACUGACUCUGACGCUCGAAAGCGUGGGGAGCACACGGGAUUAUAUACCCUGGUAGUCCACUCCAUAAACGAUGAGUGCUAUGUGUUGGAGGGUUUCCGCCCUUCAGUGCUGCAUCUAACGUAUUACUCCCUCCGCCGGGAGAGUACCACCGCAGGGUAAAACUAAAAGAAUUGACGGGGCCCGCACCCCCGGUGGAGCGUGUGUUUUUUUCAAACCACAAAAACACCUUACGGGUCUUGACUUCUUUGACCCUCGAAAAAAAAACCUCCCCGUGGGGGGCAAAAUAACAGGUGGGCGUGUUUUCCACCCCCCUUUUCAAAAAGGUGGGUU
RNAcentral lists this ribosomal RNA (1032 nucleotides) under Enterococcus faecium. Its description in RNAcentral is "partial 16S ribosomal RNA". It matches the Rfam family "Bacterial small subunit ribosomal RNA", at positions 68 to 1081 of the family's 1533-position model. The record is from RNAcentral. Lineage: Bacteria; Bacillati; Bacillota; Bacilli; Lactobacillales; Enterococcaceae.